RNAcentral lists this transfer RNA (78 nucleotides) under Antrihabitans cavernicola. RNAcentral describes it as "Rhodococcus sp. C1-24 tRNA-Trp". It matches the Rfam family "tRNA". Rfam says of the family: Transfer RNA (tRNA) molecules are approximately 80 nucleotides in length. Their secondary structure includes four short double-helical elements and three loops (D, anti-codon, and T loops). Further hydrogen bonds mediate the characteristic L-shaped molecular structure. tRNAs have two regions of fundamental functional importance: the anti-codon, which is responsible for specific mRNA codon recognition, and the 3' end, to which the tRNAs corresponding amino acid is attached (by aminoacyl-tRNA synthetases). tRNAs cope with the degeneracy of the genetic code in two manners: having more than one tRNA (with a specific anti-codon) for a particular amino acid; and 'wobble' base-pairing, i.e. permitting non-standard base-pairing at the 3rd anti-codon position. Lineage: Bacteria; Bacillati; Actinomycetota; Actinomycetes; Mycobacteriales; Nocardiaceae. The record is from RNAcentral.
UGGGGCUUAGCUCAAAAUGGGUAGAGCGGCGGAUUCCAAACCCGCAGGUUGUUGGUUCGAGUCCAGCAGUCCCCGCAA